Long non-coding RNA from Megalobrama amblycephala (Wuchang bream), 784 nucleotides. RefSeq lists it as uncharacterized. The record is from RefSeq and is a predicted model, not a curated record. NCBI's taxonomy places the organism in Eukaryota, Metazoa, Chordata, Actinopteri, Cypriniformes, Xenocyprididae. The transcript is spliced from 4 exons.
UCUGAAACACGAGCGCAGCCGAACAUGACCGGAAGUUGCGCUUCAGCGAGAUCAGAUUAACUGUAAACAGUUCCAGCAUUUCACUGUUAAAUGUGUUUAAUUAAUUAAUCGAUCCCGACAUUACAUGUAAAGUUCGUGUGUGUGUCUCGAUCAUCAGAGAUUUCAGCUGAUUUCAGAUUUACUGGCUGACAGUCUGUUGAUUCACGAGCAGGAUUCAGUCCACAAACAGGUCUCAGGAUGGUGUGUGAGCUGCUGCUCUCUUCUAUCUGGUUCCUCUUUGUGAUCUUCUGGCUGGAGACCAUCAGCGUGUGGCUCUUCCUGUGCCUGUACUAUCAGGACAGAGUCUUCUAUCACUGGGGUUCAGGGGAGUUUGCAGAUGAUCCGGAUCAGUUCCUCUAUGUGUUGAGCAGAAUCGAUCUUUCUGCGCAUAUGCAGACGUGAGGAAGUGAUGUCAUGGCGUGGGAGUGCCGUGUUUAGAGGACGUGGGUGAUGGACGGGAAGGGUCAGAGGUCACCGGUGAUGUCAUGUCUCGGAGGAUCCAGCUGAAGAGAGAGAGAGAGCUGAACUCAGAGUCUGGAGUGAGAAUAAUAACCAAUGAAAGCUUAGAGAUUUCUGCACAUGAUCAACCGUGAUCUGCUUUCCUGGAGCUGAUUUAAUCUUUUACACUAGAGGAACUUCACUUUAUAUUAACGUCUCAAGAUGAUAAAACUCUUCUAAUUAUUCGUUUUCUAUUUUUGUAUCAAUUUGUCCUUUUUUGCCUGAUAAUAAAGCAGUUUUACACUGA